GUUCCAAAAGUUAUUAGAGUACUAGAUUGAGUGAGCAGGAAGGUGGAAGAAGUUGGUUAAAGAAUGGGAAGCUCAAACUUGGAUCAUGAAAGGUUUUCAGAUAUUGGAAAUGUCAAAGACUGGAGUAUAACCAUGUUGCAAUAAAAAUAAUUGACAAAACUCAGUUGAAUCCAACAAGUCUACAAAAGUAGAGACGGGGUUUCACUAUGUUAUCCAGGAUGGUCUCGAUCUCCUGACCUCGUGAUCCACCCAUCUUGGCUUCCCAAAGUGCUGGAAUUACAGCUCUUCAGAGAAGUAAGAAUAAUGAAGAUUUUAAAUCAUCCCAAUAUAGUGAAGUUAUUCGAAGUCAUUGAAACUGAAAAAACACUCUACCUAAUCAUGGAAUAUGCAAGUGGAGGUGAAGUAUUUGACUAUUUGGUUGCACAUGGCAGG
RNAcentral lists this small RNA (432 nucleotides) under Pan troglodytes (chimpanzee). Its description in RNAcentral is "processed transcript". The record is from RNAcentral. Lineage: Eukaryota; Metazoa; Chordata; Mammalia; Primates; Hominidae.